Long non-coding RNA from Trichomycterus rosablanca, 113 nucleotides. RefSeq lists it as uncharacterized. The record is from RefSeq and is a predicted model, not a curated record. Lineage: Eukaryota; Metazoa; Chordata; Actinopteri; Siluriformes; Trichomycteridae. The transcript has 3 exons.
CACAAGAUGUCCUGCCAUUUAGCUGCUCACUGUUCCUGAAAACAAGGUACCUUCUACACAUCAAAGUUCUGAACCAGCACCAACCCCGCUGACACCCGGAUAUUCUCCCAACA